RNAcentral lists this long non-coding RNA (6918 nucleotides) under Populus trichocarpa (black cottonwood). RNAcentral's name for it is "long non-coding RNA (PTRI_LNC003576)". The record is from RNAcentral. Lineage: Eukaryota; Viridiplantae; Streptophyta; Magnoliopsida; Malpighiales; Salicaceae.
CCAAGGUCAUAUAAAGACUAUGCUUAAACUUGCGAAGCUUCUUCACUACAAAGGUCUUCACAUCACGUUUGUCAGCACAGAAUUCAAUCACAAACGUUUCCUUAGGUCAAGAGGACCUCAUGCCCUUGAUGACUUGCCUGGCUUCCAUUUUAGAACCAUUCCCGAUGGUCUCCCUCCUUCAGAUAUUGGUGCCACCCAAGACAUUCCUUCUCUUUGUCAUGCCAUGAACAAGAAUUUCUUAGCACCCUUUAAAGAUCUUCUUUUACAACUCAAAAAUACAGUAUCGGAGAACAACCCUCCGAUUACCUGCAUUGUUUCUGAUCCUUUUGCUCCAUUCUCCAUCAAAGCUGGGGAAGAAGUUGGUCUUCCAGUUGUGAUGUAUGCCACUACGAAUGCAUGUGGCUAUAUGGGAUGUAAACAGCUCUAUGCUCUCAGAGAGAAAGGCUUCACCCCCAUCAAAGGUAUAUUCACAUACUUGUUUAAUUACAAGUGAACUUCCAAGAAAAGUGGCUUUAUUACUAUUAUACAACUUCAUUAGUAUUUUACAGCUUUAUUCUUUUCUAAAUUUUCAAACAAAUGGUUGAGAUUAUCCUAGAAAUCAAAUGGUUGAGAUCCUUCUACAAAUAAUUUCAAAAAUUAUAGGGUAUGAGAGAUUUCAGAUCAUUUUUUAUUCUAUUAUUCUAGCUAGUACUCGGUAAUUAUAGGUAAAAUUCUUAUGAUGGUGGAGAGUAUCCUCAUUUUUAACAAGGUGAAACUGGAUUGAGUUUCCGGUUUCUCAUUAAUCUUGCAUAUUGCAUAGAUUAUUUGUUUGGCUAAAGUGUAAUGAAUACAAUUUCAGCUAUAAUGAUAAUGAUAGUAUUUGGAUGUGAAAAAAAUAUGAAUCACUAACUUGAUUGCUUUUUUCUUUUAUAUUUCUUUUUGUUCUCUCUUUAUCUCAUUUACGGCGCAUUCAUUUUAUUUUACUCAACAUUUUAGAAAUUAUCUUUUAAAUGAUUUCUUUUUUAUUAAUACACUUUAUUAUUAUUGAAAAAAUAUUAGAAUUUAAUUAAUUUGGUAUGCCCGCGUUCCGACAAAAAUUUCCAAGCUUAAAUCACACAGGCAAGAUCAAUGAUUAUGUGCAAAAGAAUUUCAUUUUGAGCUUGGUCUAAUAAGAUUGUGUUUUGCAGAUUUGAGCAAUCUAAGCAACGGCUAUCUUGAGACAAAAGUAGACUGGGCUCCUGGUAUGAAAGACGUUCGUCUUAAAGAUUUUCCAUUUAUUCAAACAACAGAUCCAGAUGAAGUUGUAUUUAACUUUGUCAUUGGGGUUGCUGAAACUUCUGUUAAAGCUCGUGCAAUUGCUUUUCAUACUUUUGACGCCUUGGAACCAGAAGUUUUAGAUGGCCUUUCCACUAUUUUCCCUCGAGUUUAUUCCAUCGGUCCACUCCAGUUACUCCUAAAUCAAUUCGAAGAAAAUGGUUUGAAGUCUAUUGGUUACAGUCUGUGGAAAGAAGACCAUGAGUGUCUCCAAUGGCUGGAAACAAAGGAACCCAAAUCAGUGGUGUACGUGAAUUUUGGAAGCAUAACAGUGAUGACAGCUGAUCAACUGGUGGAGUUUGCAAUGGGAUUAGUUAAUAGUAAUAUCCCAUUCUUGUGGAUUAUAAGGCCAGAUUUGGUCGUCGGUGAAUCAGCUGUUUUACCAGCUGAAUUUGAAGAGGAAACUGAAAAGCGAGGCUUUAUUACAAGUUGGUGUCCACAAGAGGAAGUGCUUAACCAUCCAGCAGUUGGAGGGUUUCUAACUCAUAGUGGCUGGGGUUCAACCAUUGAGAGCUUGUGUGCUGGUGUUCCAUUGGCGUGUUGGCCCUUCUUCGCUGAUCAAGCAAUGAACUGUAGAUAUAGCUGCAAUGAAUGGGGAGUUGGAAUGGAGAUUGAUAAUAACGUCAAGAGGGAAGAAGUGGAGAUGCUGGUGAAGGAGCUCAUGGAAGGGGAAAAGGGUGAGAAAAUGAGGGGAAAGGCUAUGGAGUGGAAAAGGUUGGCUGAAGAAGCUGUUGGGCCAGAGGGUACAUCAUCCAUUAAUUUGGACAAGUUCAUCCAUGAAAUAAUCUCUUCAAACAAUUAGAUCGUCGACACGCUAGAAUAAAAAAAAAAUCAUAAAAGAUCAAAUUUCGUUCGUCUGUGAAAAGAUCAAAUUUCCUUCCAGUUGCCUUUUUUUGGAAUUUAAAUAUCAUAAUAAAUAAAUGCUCCAUUUUCGAAUAUGGUAUGAUAUCUUGGAAACCUGUUGAUACUUCUAUCUCUACAUCCAAAGCUAUCAUAUCGUCAGAUCUUUUGUUUUUUAAUGCUUCACGUUUUCGUCAAAUUAUGGGUGUUCUUCAAUAUCUCAGUUUUGCGAGACCAGAUAUUUGCUUUGUUGUUAACAGAGUCUAUCAGUUUAUGCAUGCUCCUACAGACUCUCAUUGGGCUGCUGUUAAACGCAUUUUGCGUUAUCUUAACGGUACGACAACACAUGGCCUACAUAUUACUCAUAGUUCUUUCUUUCCAUUACAUGGCUUUACAAAUGCAGAUUCUGCAGGUAGUAUUGAUGAUAAAAAAAUCUACGAGUGGUUAUCUUGUGUCCUUUGGUUAUCUUAAGCAACGUACAAUUGCUCGCUCCUCUAUCGAAGCUGAGUACAAAUCCUUAGCAGAUGGUAUUGCUGAGGUUAUCUGGCUUGACUAUUUAUUAACAGAUCUUCAGAUUCUGUCUGUUUCAGCUCCUAUAAUUUGGUGUUAUAAUCUUGGUGCCACUUAUUUAUCUGCGAAUCAUGUUUUUCAUUCUUACACAAAACAUGUUGAGGUUGAUUAUCAUUUUGUUCGAGAUUGAGUUGCGAAGAGGGAGAUUCAGAUUCGUUUCAUUUUCUCUCGGGAUCAACUUGCAUAUGUCUUUACUAAGCCACUUCCUACUGCUUCGUUUACUGCUUUUCGUUUCAAGCUUCGGGUCGAUCGUCUACCCUAAGCUUGAGAGGGCAUAUUAUAGAAUGUAUACUAUAUAUGAAAUAUUAUGGGCACUACUAUAGUAUUAAUUGUAUUCUCUACAUUAACUAUUAUAUAUUGCCCUACACAUAUAAAUAGAAAAGGAUUGGUUAAAUCAAAAGUUAAGCCUCCUAAUUAUUCUCAACUAUUACCAGUGAGUCAACGAUUUUGCCGGCUGAGUUUCAAGUGGAAACUUAGAACCGUGGUUUCGUAACUAGUUGGUGUCCACAAGAGGAAGUUCUGAACCACCCAUCAGUUGGUGUCAAAGAACCAUCUCAACCCAAUAGCUUAAACUGUUAGGUAAGGUCCCAAGAUAUGAUUUAUAUUAUUCUCUAACACACCCCCUCAAGUGAAAGCCCUUUGAAAUUGAAACUUGCACAAGCCUAUAUUAUCUUGUGCUUAAUUUUUAUCAAAUAACUGGGGAUGGUGAGAUUCGAACUCGUGACCGCUUGGUCAUUAAGGUUUUGAUACCAUGUCAAAGAACCAUCUCAACCCAAUAGCUUAAGCUGUUAGGUGAAGUUUCAGGAUAUGAUUUAUAUUAUUAUCUAACAGUUGGGGGAGAUUUCUAACUCAUACCGGUUGGAAUUCGAUUAUUGAAAGCUUGUGUGCUGGAGUGCCAGUGAUAUGUUGGCCUUUAUUUGCUGAUCAACCAAUAAAUUGUAGCUGUGCUUGCAUUGAAUGGGGAGUUGGCAUGGAGAUUGAUAACAAUGUCAAGAGAGAAGAAGUGGAGAAGCUUAUCAGGAACUUGAUGGGAGGAGAAAGUGUAAGAAAAUGAGGGAAAAGGCCAAACACUGGAGGAAGGUGGCGGAAGAGGCUACUGUCCCUAGCUAAUGGUUCAUCAUCCAUUAAUUUAGACAGUUUCAUCAAUGAAAUGUUACAAUCAAACAUCACUCUGUAACCUAUGAUCAUUCAAAAGAGAAAAUACUUUUGUGAUGGGAUUUUAUUGCUUGCCAAUUGAAGAUAGCUAGUGUUUGCACUAAUGGUGUUUGUCUCGAUAGUCCAUAUGCAUGGUUGUCUGGAACGUCCCAAGAACCUAGCACGCAACUGAACAGCUUCUAGGUCUACAAAUUAAGACAUAUCCAGUCCAAUGAGCUCGGGCGUAGAAAUUUGUCCAUUGAACAGUCCCUGUUAAAGAUCAAUCCAGAAAUUAAUUUAGCUAAUGGUGUUUUUUUUUCUGGGCCCAGCUCAGCCCACGUGGGCUGGGCUAGACCCAACCAUCCUGGCCCGGUUACUGGCCUAAGCCAGUGAUCCGGCUGGCUGAAGCACGCAUGCGUGAACUAUUCACGCAUGCUGUGCACAGUGGGAAGGUAAUUAAAAUUACCUUAUCCCUGUACUUAUACAACUAUAAAUGAAAGGGAGCGGGAAGCUUACCUGGAAGCAGGAACGAAGACGAUGACGAAGGCGUGGUGGCUGGCUGUUCCUCCUGUUCGUUCGUCUCCUCUCUGCUUCUGGUUUUUUCUUAGAGACGAAGGAACGAAGAUGAUGAUGAUGCCGGUUCUCUCUGGUGGUCUUGAUUCUGGGUCCUUCUUUUUCUGCUGUUAUUUUGGGUUUCUUCCUCUGCUUAUGACGGUUCGGAGUGGUGCCAGGCUGAUCAAUGUUUACAGUUUCUCUGUUUUCCCUUGUUCACUUUGCUUGCGUCCUGGGGACGAAGACAACGCUGGCUUUUGCUCUCUCCUCCUUUUUCUUUUUAGUUUGUCUCUCCCUGUUUCCAGUGUUCUUCCCCUGUCUUUUUUUUUUUGUUUCGGUUCGUGCUCUCCCUCUCCUUCUCUAGUCCAGUAUGUCUAUCUCCGUGCGUCCUCUGUUUUUUUUCUGCCCUCUCAGUUUAGUUCCCCCUCUGUUCGUCUGUAUUUUCUCUCUUUGUCCCCUGUAUUUUUUUUCUGUUUCGGUUCGUGAUCUGCCCCCUGCUUCCCCCGCUGUGAGGCCUUUCUCUGGCUUUUAUAAAGCCAGAGAAGGUCGUGUGUUCAUGCCUCAACAAAUGAGGCACGUUCCGUGAGGGAUCGUGGUUCAUGAUCUGCUGGCAGUGUUUCCUGUUGAUCCGGUCUUCCGGAUGAGGAGAUGAUGAACAGUGGUUCAAAACGGCGCCGUUUAUAUCUGGUGUUUUCAACUUAGCCCCUGAACUUCUAACAUUAACAAUUGGGUUCCUGAUUUCAUUAAUUAAACUAAUUCCAAGUUCACUUAAGUCCCCAAACUUAUCAAUUCUUCAAUUAAGCUCUUAAUGUGAUUAAUGAAACUACUCCCAAGUUUAAUUAAGUCCUUAAACUUUCAAUUAUGUUGCCUUAGCUCAAAUUUUAAUUUAUCCUUCAUUCAUUUUAUUUUUUUUUCACAUAUAUUUUUUUGUUUUAAUAAAAAUAAGAUAAAAUAAAAAUAGUUAAAAUUUAAGUUAUAACAUUAAUAAUUAAUUUUAAAAAGAACUUAUAUGUUUAUUUAAUAGUCCUGAACAAUAAAAAUUUCUAGCUACGCCUUUGCUCGGCUCCAUGCAUUAAAUGUGACAAUGCAUUGGGGAUGGCUCCACUCUUCCUCAUGACAUGUUGUCAAUUUAAGCAGAUUUUUACUCACGGCACUAGCCAUGUGUCUAUCGUGACAGUAAGGGCCGGUGGUUCAAGGAGGGAGGGAGAGAGAGAGGGUGGUGUUUUGGUGCAGGUUUCCACAUUUAUGUGGAUUUAAUCUCGUUAUUCCAAAACAAUUUAUCCAACUGUUAGUAAGAAGAAAAGGAUGAAUGAUACUAUAUAUAAUUGAACUUAAUUACAAGGCUCCAAUUAUUUGUAUAAUUGAAUUUUUUUAGAUUAAAUUAAUUCAAUUCAUUAUGUUCAUUGCUAUAAAUAAAGUUUUCUAGUUGCGUUAUGGAUAUAUAUUUUAAUAAUAAUUUUCAAUGAAAAAAUAACUGGCCAUUCAUUAAUACGACUAGAAAAAGGGCCAAUGAUAGAUGCUGCCAGACAAUUUUGCUGAUAAGAUUUUAUAUAUUAUAGUGAUAAUUAAUUUGUGAAAUCCUUGUAUUUUGGAGGUAAUUGUGAGCUGUGAUUCAUCUAUUUGGAAGUAUGGAUAUUGUUGUUUUUUAAAAUAUUUUUUGUUUGAAAAUACAUCAAAAUAAUAUAUUUUUUUAUUUUUUAAAAAUUAUUUUUAAUAUUAGCAUAUCAAAAUAUUUGAAAACACCAAAAAAUAUUAAUUUAAAACAAAAAAAAUAAAAAAAUUUUAAUUUUUUCAAAAACACUUUUAAAAUAUUAAAAUAAUAAAUUGCUAUUGAUUACAUGGUGGUCCCGUAGAGAAAAAAACAGGUAUAAAAAAAACAAAAAGAGAUAUGGAUUAUUAAAAAUAAUAAAAAUAUAUAUAUAUUUAAAAUAUUCUUGUUGUUAUUCUCGUCCCUGUAAAAUUUCUCGUUGUUAUCACUAGAGUACAACUACAAUGACCUGGCAAAACAUGCCAUUAAUAAAAUAGAAAUAAAAAUAAAAAAUCCAAGGAAGACACAGAUUUGGAAAUAGAAAAUCAAGCAUAUCUGGCUAUAAAUCACAGGAAAAGACUCAUUGAGACUGAACAGAGAGAAGCAAGCUAGCUAGCUAGUAAGAGAGAUAUGGGAUCCAUUUCCAAGCCUCAUGUUGUUGUGAUCCCAUGUCCACUCCAAGGUCAUAUAAAGACUAUGCUUAAACUUGCGAAGCUUCUUCACUACAAAGGUCUUCACAUCACGUUUGUCAGCACAGAAUUCAAUCACAAACGUUUCCUUUGGUCAAGAGGACGUCAUGCCCUUGAUGACUUGCCUGGCUUCCAUUUUAGAACCAUUCCCGAUGGUCUCCCUCCUUCAGAUAUUGAUGCCACCCAAGACAUUCCUUCUCUUUGUGAUGCCAUGAACAAGAAUUUCUUAGCACCCUUUAAAGAUCUUCUUUUGGAACUCAGAAAUACCGUUUCGGAGAACAACCCUCCGGUUACCUGCAUUGUUUCUGAUCC